GACGAACCGUGCGAACGUUGUUCGGAAUCACUGGGCUUAAAGGGCGCGUAGGCGGCUCAUCACGUCAGGGGUGAAAGCCCCCGGCUCAACCGGGGAAGUGCCUCUGAUACGGGUGGGCUCGAGGGAGGUAGGGGCAGCCGGAACUUCCGGUGGAGCGGUGAGAUGCGUUGAUAUCGGAAGGAACGCCGGUGGCGAAAGCGGGCUGCUGGACCUCAAUCUGACGCUGAGGCGCGAAAGCCAGGGGAGCAAACGGG
RNAcentral lists this ribosomal RNA (254 nucleotides) under uncultured bacterium. RNAcentral's name for it is "partial 16S ribosomal RNA". It matches the Rfam family "Bacterial small subunit ribosomal RNA", at positions 524 to 776 of the family's 1533-position model. The record is from RNAcentral.